RNAcentral lists this ribosomal RNA (259 nucleotides) under uncultured Gardnerella sp. RNAcentral describes it as "partial 16S ribosomal RNA". It matches the Rfam family "Bacterial small subunit ribosomal RNA", at positions 96 to 354 of the family's 1533-position model. Lineage: Bacteria; Bacillati; Actinomycetota; Actinomycetes; Bifidobacteriales; Bifidobacteriaceae. The record is from RNAcentral.
UGGCGAACGGGUGAGUAAUGCGUGACCAACCUGCCCCAUGCUCCAGAAUAGCUCUUGGAAACGGGUGGUAAUGCUGGAUGCUCCAACUUGACGCAUGUCUUGUUGGGAAAGUGUUUAGUGGCAUGGGAUGGGGUCGCGUCCUAUCAGCUUGUAGGCGGGGUAAUGGCCCACCUAGGCUUCGACGGGUAGCCGGCCUGAGAGGGCGGACGGCCACAUUGGGACUGAGACACGGCCCAAACUCCUACGGGAGGCAGCAGAC